Molecule: ribosomal RNA, 467 nt
Filed under: uncultured bacterium
Lineage: Bacteria
Description: partial 16S ribosomal RNA
Rfam family: Bacterial small subunit ribosomal RNA (bases 57-467)
Source: RNAcentral
GGGGGGGGGGGGGGGGGGGCGGGGGAGGGGGGGGGCGGGCGGGGGGGGGGGGGGGGGCGGGGGUGCUCGAGUGGCGAACGGGGGGGUAACACGUGGGUAAUCUGCCCUGCACUCUGGGAUAAGCCUGGGAGACUGGGUCUAAUACUGGAUAUGACCUUUCUCCUUAUGGGGUUUGGUGGAAAGUUUUUCGGUGUAGGAUGAGCCCGCGGCCUAUCAGCUUGUUGGUGGGGUGAUGGCCUACCAAGGCGACGACGGGUAGCCGGCCUGAGAGGGUGAUCGGCCACAUUGGGACUGAGAUACGGCCCAGACUCCUACGGGAGGCAGCAGUGGGGAAUAUUGCACAAUGGGCGGAAGCCUGAUGCAGCGACGCCGCGUGAGGGAUGACGGCCUUCGGGUUGUAAACCUCUUUCAGCAGGGACGAAGCGUAAGUGACGGUACCUGCAGAAGAAGCACCGGCUAACUAUGUG